Molecule: non-coding RNA, 21 nt
Filed under: Arabidopsis thaliana (thale cress)
Lineage: Eukaryota; Viridiplantae; Streptophyta; Magnoliopsida; Brassicales; Brassicaceae
Source: RNAcentral
UAUGCAGUGCUACAAACUAGU